RNAcentral lists this ribosomal RNA (556 nucleotides) under Phyllopsora confusa. RNAcentral describes it as "SSU rRNA". It matches the Rfam family "Bacterial small subunit ribosomal RNA", at positions 370 to 925 of the family's 1533-position model. The record is from RNAcentral. Lineage: Eukaryota; Fungi; Ascomycota; Lecanoromycetes; Lecanorales; Ramalinaceae.
AAUAGCCCAACGGCUGAACCAGCAACUUGGAGGAAUGAAUAGCAAUAGCUAAUUGCACAUAUGUAUGAUGCAAUAUCGACUCAGUCGAAUAAAAUUCUGGCUAGAAUUAUGAUAAUGACAUUAUCUAGUCAUAUGUCUUGACCAAAUUACGUGCCAGCAGUCGCGGUAAUACGUAGAAGACUAGUGUUAUUCAUCUUUAAUAGGUUUAAAGGGUACCCAGACGGUAAAUCAAGCCCUAGACGGGACUAAUUUACUAGAGUUACUUAUGCGGAGGUUUUUAAGUACUAAUGGUGUAGAGAUAAAAUUUUGUAAUACCAUUUUUCGAAAGAAAAGUUAUGGCACUGGUAAAGGCGAAAGCAUCCUCUUAUGUGAUAACUGACGUUGAAGGACGAAGGCUUUGGAUCGCAAAUAGGAUUAGUUACCCUAGUAGUCUAAGCAGAGAAUUAUGAGUGUCAUAGAUUAGAAAUUAAUUUUAUUCUAUAAAUGAAAGUGUAAGCACUCCACCUCAAGAGUAAUUUGGCAACAUUGGAACUGAAAUCAUUAGACCGUUUCUGAA